This 60-nucleotide transfer RNA is filed under the name Glypthelmins quieta. Its description in RNAcentral is "tRNA-Ser". The record is from RNAcentral. Lineage: Eukaryota; Metazoa; Platyhelminthes; Trematoda; Plagiorchiida; Plagiorchiidae.
GAGAAUUUACUGGUUGUCGCUGCUAACGAUGAUUUGAAUGCUGAUAGCAUUCGAUUCUCU